This 534-nucleotide ribosomal RNA is filed under the name uncultured bacterium. RNAcentral describes it as "bacterial SSU rRNA". It matches the Rfam family "Bacterial small subunit ribosomal RNA", at positions 1 to 525 of the family's 1533-position model. The record is from RNAcentral.
UUAGAGUUUGAUCAUGGCUCAGGACGAACGCUGGCGGCGCGCUUAAUACAUGCAAGUCGAGCGAGAACCAUGGCUUCGGCCAUGGGGACAGCGGCGAACGGGUGAGUAACACGUGGGUAAUCAACCCCCGACACCGGGAUAGCCCGGGGAAACCCGGAUUAAUACCGGAUGCCCCAUCCGGCUCUCGAGCCGGCUGGAAAAGGGUAGCUUCGGCCUCCGGUCGGGGACGAGCCCGCGGCGGAUUAGCUUGUUGGUGAGGUAAGAGCUCACCAAGGCGACGAUCCGUAGCUGGUCUGAGAGGACGAUCAGCCACACUGGGACUGAGACACGGCCCAGACUCCUACGGGAGGCAGCAGUAGGGAAUCUUGCGCAAUGGGCGAAAGCCUGACGCAGCGACGCCGCGUGGGGGAAGAAGGCUUUCGGGUUGUAAACCCCUUUCAGGAAGGACGAAGCCACUCGGGUGAAUAGCCCAGAGGGUGACGGUACUUCCAGAAGAAGCCCCGGCUAACUACGUGCCAGCAGCCGCGGUACCCA